UCUCGUUUAAACGAUGUAUUCCCAAAUCCUUCUAAUACAUCCUUGUAACCCUAUAGUUACGCCAGUUUGAUUAAAUUUCAUCAAAAUGAG
This is a non-coding RNA of Enterococcus gilvus ATCC BAA-350, 90 nucleotides long. Lineage: Bacteria; Bacillati; Bacillota; Bacilli; Lactobacillales; Enterococcaceae. The record is from Rfam.